AAGAGUGUAGUGCAACUGGUAGCACAGUGAUCUCCAAAAUCAUUAGUAGGUGUUCAAAUCACCUCACUCUUG
This 72-nucleotide transfer RNA is filed under the name Ramaria cf. rubripermanens. RNAcentral's name for it is "tRNA-Trp". It matches the Rfam family "tRNA". Rfam says of the family: Transfer RNA (tRNA) molecules are approximately 80 nucleotides in length. The record is from RNAcentral. Lineage: Eukaryota; Fungi; Basidiomycota; Agaricomycetes; Gomphales; Gomphaceae.